GACGGAAGUUUUAAAAUUCAUUAAUAUAAAUUGAGAGCCUAGCUAUGACGAUUUGAAGUUGGUGGCCUAGUUUUCCACUGGAGGAUUCUAGGCCACCACCUACUCCAAAUUGUUAUAUCUCGGGUGAAAAUCAACAA
Molecule: non-coding RNA, 137 nt
Organism: Caenorhabditis elegans
Lineage: Eukaryota; Metazoa; Nematoda; Chromadorea; Rhabditida; Rhabditidae
Source: Ensembl